AGGAUCACUAAUUGGGAAGAGGUCAGGCAUGGCUCAGUGAAUGGGAGGCACACUGCUCUCCCUCUGCAUUGCCUCUGAUGGAUCGCCACAGAAUUAUGGAUCCCAGCUCCUCUGGAACCUGCAGCAAACUCCUUCUCAUACUACUGCACUGAAUUCUCAAAAGAAGUUUAAUAACACCUGUACAAAAGGGCCAUUACCAGAUGCUGACCAUGAAAACAACUCAAUGCAGAGAUUUUUCCUUGAAGACCUUCCUCACAGUUAAGAUGUGGCGUAGCAAGUUCCUUAUCUGACAGGAGCUGAGACUUCUCAGUUCUUUCCUGGAGACAGACAGCUCUUCAGCAGCUGGUCCUCGAGCAGAAUAGUUGUCUCAG
Long non-coding RNA from Pogoniulus pusillus (Red-fronted tinkerbird), 371 nucleotides. RefSeq lists it as uncharacterized. Lineage: Eukaryota; Metazoa; Chordata; Aves; Piciformes; Lybiidae. The record is from RefSeq and is a predicted model, not a curated record. The transcript is spliced from 4 exons.